RNAcentral lists this ribosomal RNA (274 nucleotides) under Bacillus amyloliquefaciens. RNAcentral describes it as "partial 16S rRNA". It matches the Rfam family "Bacterial small subunit ribosomal RNA", at positions 68 to 334 of the family's 1533-position model. Lineage: Bacteria; Bacillati; Bacillota; Bacilli; Caryophanales; Bacillaceae. The record is from RNAcentral.
GACAGAUGGGAGCUUGCUCCUGAUGUUAGCGGCGGACGGGUGAGUAACACGUGGGUAACCUGCCUGUAAGACUGGGAUAACUCCGGGAAACCGGGGCUAAUACCGGAUGCUUGUUUGAACCGCAUGGUUCAAACAUAAAAGGUGGCUUCGGCUACCACUUACAGAUGGACCCGCGGCGCAUUAGCUAGUUGGUGAGGUAACGGCUCACCAAGGCGACGAUGCGUAGCCGACCUGAGAGGGUGAUCGGCCACACUGGGACUGAGACACGGCCCAG